UAACGCGAAGAACCUUACCAAGGCUUACCAUACACCGAAAACGGCCAGAGAUGGUCGCCCCCUUGUGGUCGGUGUACAGGUGGUGCAUGGUUGUCGUCAGCUCGUGUCGUGAGAUGUUGGGUUAAGUCCCGCAACGAGCGCAACCCUCGUUCUAUGUUGCCAGCGCGUUAUGGCGGGGACUCAUAGGAGACUGCCGGGGUCAACUCGGAGGAAGGUGGGGAUGACGUCAAAUCAUCAUGCCCCUUAUGUCUUGGGCUUCACGCAUGCUACAAUGGCCGGUACAAAGGGCUGCGAUACCGUAAGGUGGAGCGAAUCCCAAAAAGCCGGUCUCAGUUCGGAUUGAGGUCUGCAACUCGACCUCAUGAAGUCGGAGUCGCUAGUAAUCGCAGAUCAGCA
Molecule: ribosomal RNA, 396 nt
Filed under: uncultured bacterium
Lineage: Bacteria
Description: bacterial SSU rRNA
Rfam family: Bacterial small subunit ribosomal RNA
Source: RNAcentral